CCGAUGAAUGCCACGUGGUCAC
RNAcentral lists this microRNA (22 nucleotides) under Echinococcus granulosus. RNAcentral's name for it is "egr-miR-10239-3p". Lineage: Eukaryota; Metazoa; Platyhelminthes; Cestoda; Cyclophyllidea; Taeniidae. The record is from miRBase by way of RNAcentral.